UGAGGAAUAUUGGUCAAUGGACGCAAGUCUGAACCAGCCAAGUAGCGUGCAGGAUGACGGCCCUAUGGGUUGUAAACUGCUUUUAUAUGGGGAUAAAGUGGGGAACGUGUUCCCUUUUGCAGGUACCAUAUGAAUAAGGACCGGCUAAUUCCGUGCCAGCAGCCGCGGUAAUACGGAAGGUUCGGGCGUUAUCCGGAUUUAUUGGGUUUAAAGGGAGCGUAGGCCGUUUGGUAAGCGUGUUGUGAAAUGUAGGAGCUCAACUUCUAGAUUGCAGCGCGAACUGUCAGACUUGAGUGCGCACAACGUAGGCGGAAUUCAUGGUGUAGCGGUGAAAUGCGUAGAUAUAUGGGGGAACACCGGUGGCGAAAGCGGCUCUCUGGUCUGUAACUGACGCUGAGGCUCGAAAGCGUGGGGAGCGAACAGG
This 424-nucleotide ribosomal RNA is filed under the name Verrucomicrobiota bacterium. Its description in RNAcentral is "Verrucomicrobia bacterium partial 16S ribosomal RNA". It matches the Rfam family "Bacterial small subunit ribosomal RNA", at positions 355 to 776 of the family's 1533-position model. Lineage: Bacteria; Pseudomonadati; Verrucomicrobiota. The record is from RNAcentral.